GGUUUUCGGAUCGUAAAACUCUGUUGGUAGAGAAGAACGUUGGUGAGAGUGGAAAGCUCAUCAAGUGACGGUAACUACCCAGAAAGGGACGGCUAACUACGUGCCAGCAGCCGCGGUAAUACGUAGGUCCCGAGCGUUGUCCGGAUUUAUUGGGCGUAAAGCGAGCGCAGGUGGUUUAUUAAGUCUGGUGUAAAAGGCAGUGGCUCAACCAUUGUAUGCAUUGGAAACUGGUAGACUUGAGUGCAGGAGAGGAGAGUGGAAUUCCAUGUGUAGCGGUGAAAU
Molecule: ribosomal RNA, 282 nt
Filed under: Listeria monocytogenes
Lineage: Bacteria; Bacillati; Bacillota; Bacilli; Caryophanales; Listeriaceae
Description: partial 16S ribosomal RNA
Rfam family: Bacterial small subunit ribosomal RNA
Source: RNAcentral